Molecule: ribosomal RNA, 238 nt
Filed under: uncultured bacterium
Lineage: Bacteria
Description: partial 16S ribosomal RNA
Rfam family: Bacterial small subunit ribosomal RNA
Source: RNAcentral
CGGCGGACGGGUGAGUAACGCGUGGGUAACCUGCCUCAUACAGGGGGAUAACAGUUAGAAAUGACUGCUAAUACCGCAUAAGACCACGGUACCGCAUGGUACAGUGGUAAAAACUCCGGUGGUAUGAGAUGGACCCGCGUCUGAUUAGGUAGUUGGUGGGGUAACGGCCUACCAAGCCGACGAUCGGUAGCCGGACUGAGAGGUUGAACGGCCACAUUGGGACUGAGACACGGCCCAG